Molecule: ribosomal RNA, 292 nt
Filed under: uncultured prokaryote
Description: partial 16S ribosomal RNA
Rfam family: Bacterial small subunit ribosomal RNA
Source: RNAcentral
GUGCCAGCAGCCGCGGUAAUACGUAGGGGGCAAGCGUUGUCCGGAUUUAUUGGGCGUAAAGCGCGCGCAGGUGGUUUCUUAAGUCUGAUGUGAAAGCCCCCGGCUCAACCGGGGAGGGUCAUUGGAAACUGGGAGACUUGAGUGCAGAAGAGGAUAGUGGAAUUCCAAGUGUAGCGGUGAAAUGCGUAGAGAUUUGGAGGUACACCAGUGGCGAAGGCGACUGUCUGGUCUGUAACUGACACUGAGGCGCGAAAGCGUGGGGAGCAAACAGGAUUAGAAACCCGGGUAGUCC